GGGCGCAUGGUCUAGGGGUAGUAAGUUACCACAAUUAAUCUCGUCGGGCAAAGUUCCCAACUAACAACGUACACAGUGAUUUUCGCUUCGCAUCAAUCAAGAUACGAUUGUGAAAGGUCCGGGGUUCAAAUCCCCGUACGUCCA
Non-coding RNA from Xylariales sp. PMI_506, 144 nucleotides. The record is from the annotation of a GenBank genome assembly. Lineage: Eukaryota; Fungi; Ascomycota; Sordariomycetes; Xylariales.